UACGGAGGGAGCUAGCGUUGUUCGGAUAUACUGGGCGUAAAGCGCACGUAGGCGGCGCCGUAAGUCAGGGGUGAAAUCCCGGAGCUCAACUCCGGAACUGCCCUUGAAACUGCAGUGCUAGAAUCCUGGAGAGGCGAGUGGAAUUCCGAGUGUAGAGGUGAAAUUCGCAGAUAUCAGGAGGAACACCAAUGGCGAAGGCAGCUCGCUGGGACGUGACUGACGCUGAGACGCGAAAGCGUGGGGAGCAAACAGG
This 253-nucleotide ribosomal RNA is filed under the name uncultured bacterium. RNAcentral's name for it is "partial 16S ribosomal RNA". It matches the Rfam family "Bacterial small subunit ribosomal RNA", at positions 524 to 776 of the family's 1533-position model. The record is from RNAcentral.